CAGCUCAACUAGCUAAUUGCUUACAGCUGAGAUAAUUGUCCACAGGGGUUUCUUGUCACCUAUCAAAGCUGUCUCUAAGACUCUUCUGCGGUGUUUGGUCCACAGCCUUCCGGGCUUUUAUUUAACAGGACAAAGGUUGCAGCAUUCCUCAGAGCCUCCUAAGAACCUAGAUCCUUGCUUCCUGACUCAGGAGACGCACGACUUUGGGAAGUCUGGCUUCCCCCACCAGCGCUUCUGCACCCUUUCAAGGUGAAACUCGGUGAUGUGUGGCUCUACUUGGGUUGACCACGCUGGUCCGAACUUCACUGAGGAUAAAUCCUUAAGUGUUUAAUAAGUGGAUUGGACAGACAGCAGGAGCUGAGUUCAGGAGGUGGAAAGCUUGCUGAGACAGAAGGCAGACCCAUGUCUGGAAGGCACAGAGGGGAAACACCAGACCUCUGGUAUCCAACCUUAUCAUCCCGCCCAGGGCCGGUGAAAUCCGCACAUUCUGAGCUAUCAAGCAUAAAGUGCCAAUGAGAGUAGAAGCGGUCAGAGAAGAAAGUGUUCACGGUGGGCCUAAAGCAGCUGUAAGAAAAUGAGACCAGCAAGCUUAACAUGAUGCUUAUGUUAUGCUUCCUUCUGAUGCGAACAGCUCCUCGUACGUUUCCAUAUGUCCACUUAAGGAUCCAGUGGUCUCUCCAUCCAUUUAACAGACCUACAUGUGCCAGUCUGUGUUCACACGGAACCCACAGGCCUAUGGAAGGGCUGCUGUUUCAAUAAGACAGUGACAAGCAGUGACAUUUGGGGGAACUGUGGCUAAGAAAGUCAGAGUGGCAUAGGGAGCCGCGACAGAAACUCAGCCCAAGUGAGAUGUUGGGGAUGUUUUUUGGGGGAAUACACUUACUUUGAGACUCAGAGGAAAACAAGGUGUUGGCUUCACAAAAGUGAAUGCGAACGGGACUGGAACUUCUGUUUUGUAAUAUCUACCUUCCUCUUCCCUACCAGUCAGUGAGUAAUGGUCCCUAUCCUCACGACACUCGUGGGAACUUGGCACUUAUCUUGGCUGAUUGCCUUACAUCUGGUUUGGUAGUGUUGUGUUUUAAUGAACCAGGCUCUAGAAGCCCCAAAGUUCCACAAAGGUCAAGAGGUCAGAAGUGAAGACAAGAAUGCAUGUCUGUUCCUUGAGAAAGGCAAAGAAACUGAGCAGAGAGAUUGCUGGGCCUCCUUUCCCUCAUCCAGACAGACCAGCCCUGCUUUACUCUUUACACUGGAAACCAGAGUUGUGUAUCAUCGGCGGGCGGGCAAGUUUCCUCUACUUAAAAACAACCUCCA
Long non-coding RNA from Mesocricetus auratus (golden hamster), 1311 nucleotides. RefSeq lists it as uncharacterized. NCBI's taxonomy places the organism in Eukaryota, Metazoa, Chordata, Mammalia, Rodentia, Cricetidae. The transcript has 3 exons. The record is from RefSeq and is a predicted model, not a curated record.